This 598-nucleotide ribosomal RNA is filed under the name Nannizzia gypsea. Its description in RNAcentral is "eukaryotic LSU rRNA". It matches the Rfam family "Eukaryotic large subunit ribosomal RNA", at positions 61 to 670 of the family's 3401-position model. The record is from RNAcentral. Lineage: Eukaryota; Fungi; Ascomycota; Eurotiomycetes; Onygenales; Arthrodermataceae.
GAAACCAACAGGGAUUGCCCCAGUAACGGCGAGUGAAGCGGCAAAAGCUCAAAUUUGAAAUCUGGCCUCCUACGGGGGUCCGAGUUGUAAUUUGUAGAGGAUGCUUCGGGUGUGGCCGCCGUCUAAGUUCCUUGGAACAGGACGUCAGAGAGGGUGAGAAUCCCGUCUUGGGCGGCCGGUCCGCGCCCGUGUGAAGCUCCUUCGAAGAGUCGAGUUGUUUGGGAAUGCAGCUCUAAGCGGGUGGUAAAUUUCAUCUAAAGCUAAAUACUGGUCGGAGACCGAUAGCGCACAAGUAGAGUGAUCGAAAGGUUAAAAGCACCUUGAAAAGGGAGUUAAACAGCACGUGAAAUUGUUGAAAGGGAAGCGCUUGCGGCCAGACUCGGGGGCGGGGUUCAGCGGGUGCUCGUCGCCCGUGCACUCCCCGUCUCCCGGGCCAGCAUCAGUUUCGACGGCCGGUCAAAGGCCUCCGGAAUGUGUCGUCUCUCGGGACGUCUUAUAGCCGGGGGUGCAAUGCGGCCCGUCGGGACUGAGGAACGCGCUUCGGCUCGGAUGCUGGCGUAAUGGCCGUAAGCGGCCCGUCUUGAAAGCACGGACCAAG